GCCUGGCUAGCUCAGUCCAUAGAGCAUGGGACUCUUAAUCCCAGGGUCAUGGGUUCUAGCCCCAUAUUAGGCA
Molecule: transfer RNA, 73 nt
Filed under: Mus musculus castaneus (southeastern Asian house mouse)
Lineage: Eukaryota; Metazoa; Chordata; Mammalia; Rodentia; Muridae
Description: tRNA-Lys (CTT) (tRNA-Lys-CTT-8-1)
Rfam family: tRNA
About the family: Transfer RNA (tRNA) molecules are approximately 80 nucleotides in length. Their secondary structure includes four short double-helical elements and three loops (D, anti-codon, and T loops).
Source: RNAcentral